GAUGAACGCUGGCGGCGUGCCUAAUACAUGCAAGUCGAGCGAACAGACGAGGAGCUUGCUCCUCUGACGUUAGCGGCGGACGGGUGAGUAACACGUGGAUAACCUACCUAUAAGACUGGGAUAACUUCGGGAAACCGGAGCUAAUACCGGAUAAUAUAUUGAACCGCAUGGUUCAAUAGUGAAAGACGGUUUUGCUGUCACUUAUAGAUGGAUCCGCGCCGCAUUAGCUAGUUGGUAAGGUAACGGCUUACCAAGGCAACGAUGCGUAGCCGACCUGAGAGGGUGAUCGGCCACCCUGGAACUGAGACACGGUCCAGACUCCUACGGGAGGCAGCAGUAGGGAAUCUUCCGCAAUGGGCGAAAGCUUGACGGAGCAACGCCGAGUGAGUGAUGAAGGUCUUCGGAUCGUAAAACUCUGUUAUUAGGGAAGAACAAAUGUGUAAGUAACUAUGCACGUCUUGACGGUACCUAAUCAGAAAGCCACGGCUAACUACGUG
RNAcentral lists this ribosomal RNA (497 nucleotides) under uncultured bacterium. Its description in RNAcentral is "partial 16S ribosomal RNA". It matches the Rfam family "Bacterial small subunit ribosomal RNA", at positions 28 to 507 of the family's 1533-position model. The record is from RNAcentral.